This 465-nucleotide ribosomal RNA is filed under the name uncultured bacterium. RNAcentral describes it as "partial 16S ribosomal RNA". It matches the Rfam family "Bacterial small subunit ribosomal RNA", at positions 338 to 795 of the family's 1533-position model. The record is from RNAcentral.
CCUACGGGAGGCAGCAGUGGGGAAUAUUGCGCAAUGGGCGAAAGCCUGACGCAGCGACGCCGCGUGAGGGAUGAAGGUCUUCGGAUCGUAAACCUCUGUCAGCAGGGAAGAACGGUCACUGUGCUAAUCAGCAGUGAAUUGACGGUACCUGCAAAGGAAGCACCGGCUAACUCCGUGCCAGCAGCCGCGGUAAUACGGAGGGUGUGAGCGUUAAUCGGAAUUACUGGGCGUAAAGCGCUCGUAGGAGUUCUGUCAAGUCAAGGGUGAAAUCCCCGCGCUCAAGGUGGGAACUGCCUUUGAAACUGGCAAACUUGAGGGUGUGAGAGGAUAGUGGAAUUCCAGGUGGAGGAGUGGAAUCCGUAGAUAUCUGGAGGAACAGCAGGGGAGAAGGCGAGUAUCUGGCACAUAACUGAUGCUGAGGAGCGAAAGCGUGGGUAGCAAACAGGAGUAGAGACCCCGGUAGUC